CCUACGGGGGGCAGCAGUGAGGAAUAUUGGUCAAUGGACGAGAGUCUGAACCAGCCAAGUAGCGUGAAGGAUGACUGCCCUAUGGGUUGUAAACUUCUUUUAUAUGGGAAUAAAAUGUUCCACGUGUGGGAUUUUGUAUGUACCAUAUGAAUAAUGAUCGGCUAACUCCGUGCCAGCAGCCGAGGUAAUACGGAGGAUCCGAGCGUUAUCCGGAUUUAUUGGGUUUAAAGGGAGCGUGGGUGGAUUGUUAAGUCAGUUGUGAAAGUUUGCGGCUACACCGUAAAAUUGCAGUUGAAACUGGUGGUCUUGAGUACAGUAGAGGGGUGAGGAAUGCGGGGUGUAGCGGUGAAAUGCAUAGAUAUAACGAAGAACUCCGAUUGCGAAGGCAGCUUUCUG
This 396-nucleotide ribosomal RNA is filed under the name uncultured bacterium. Its description in RNAcentral is "partial 16S ribosomal RNA". It matches the Rfam family "Bacterial small subunit ribosomal RNA", at positions 338 to 731 of the family's 1533-position model. The record is from RNAcentral.